This 253-nucleotide ribosomal RNA is filed under the name uncultured bacterium. RNAcentral describes it as "partial 16S ribosomal RNA". It matches the Rfam family "Bacterial small subunit ribosomal RNA", at positions 524 to 776 of the family's 1533-position model. The record is from RNAcentral.
GACAGAGGGUGCAAACGUUGUUCGGAAUUACUGGGCGUAAAGCGUGUGUAGGCGGUCCACUAAGUCGGGUGUGAAAGCCCUCGGCUUAACUGAGGAAGUGCACCCGAAACUGAGUAGCUAGAGUACUAAAGAGGGUCGCGGAAUUCCCGGUGUAGAGGUGAAAUUCGUAGAUAUCGGGAGGAACACCGGUGGCGAAGGCGGCGACCUGGGUAGAUACUGACGCUGAGGCGCGAAAGCGUGGGGAGCAAACAGG